UGCUCAAGGGCACCUUGUUUACAGGAGGUGAGCUGGCACCUCUCCAGCUACCAGUCCACCUUCCAUAUUUUUGGUCCAUGCUGGACUUGAGCCGGCCAACCUCUGGUUUCCAAGCCAAGUUCCUACGGGCUGAGCUACUGCCGCCCCCAUGCACACACAAAAAAACAAACUUGAAAAAACUUGCAAUACUUUGCACUGCACAACCAACUGUUACGUAUUUCUUUUCUUGAUAUAUCUCACUGUGUAUACUGUUAAUACUGUUAAUUCUGUCUACUGCCAUAUAGCCAUACAUAUACUUAUAUUUAUAUUUAUACUGAUAAUUCUGUUUACACUGUGCCAUAUUGCCACACAGAUGUCUUUAGCUUGUAUAUAUUUUUAGAUUUUUAAGAUUUGUAUAUUUUAUUAUUAUUUUUUUUUCUUUUACUUAUAUAUGUUUAUGCUGUUUGCACGGGAUAAGAGGGAAACGAAAUUUCAAUACUCUGUAUGUACAUAUAGCAGCAUUGACAAUAGAGUUUACUUGAACUUGAACUUAAAUGUACAUGUAAACGUAUGCAUACGCACACUUGUACAUACUUACAAUACAUAAUAAUAACUUCAUCUGUGUGGACAAGAAAUACUAUUCUUAUUAUCUGCAGGUCUGUGUGUCUAAAUGUGCCUUUUAUAUUUCAGCUUCAAUGUUUGGUUUUGAAUAUUUGGGUUACAGUUAGACAGUAAACCAUCUACUAUUGUCAUAGUCUAGUGGUGCCUUCUCCUCAUUUCUUCUUGUUCCACUGUUUUCCCCUCCCCUUUUGUGUCUUGUUUGUCUUGUCUCCCUGGGAGUGGCCAUCAUCAUGAGCUGCCAAUCUGACUCACCUGCAACCAAUACACUACUCAACUCUAGCAGUAUAUCUACCCCGGCUACAUCCAUUCUUCGCCAGAUCGUUGUUUCGCCUACAGUGGACAAUUACCACCACCUCCUGCCAGAGAUCUGCCUGCCUGCUCUCUUCACCAACUUCUCCCCUGCCAGCCCAGAUUGCCUGCUCUCUGCCAUCUCACGACUCCCCUGCUUUAGCUCUGCCAUUUCCUCCUCAUCGGCCAUUACCAGUUCCUCAAUUUAAUAAACCCCUGUUUAAAACUCAUCCAAGUCUGCUUUUGGGUCUGUUCUGCAGCAACCUAACAACUAUUACAACUGUUUACAAUAAUCAUUACAUUUUAAUUGGAAUGUAAUUCCGGAUCAUUUGAGGUUUUUAAAUCCUACCUAAAAACACACUUUUUCUCCCUGGCUUUUAACCAAGUUUAAGUAUCUUAGCAUUUAUUGUAACCUUUUGUAAUUAUAGCAUUAUAUGUAUAUUAUUUGUAUUUACCUGCACAGUUCUUUGGUCAACCUCAGUAGU
Long non-coding RNA from Larimichthys crocea (large yellow croaker), 1373 nucleotides. RefSeq lists it as uncharacterized. The transcript has 2 exons. The record is from RefSeq and is a predicted model, not a curated record. NCBI's taxonomy places the organism in Eukaryota, Metazoa, Chordata, Actinopteri, Sciaenidae.